Molecule: ribosomal RNA, 301 nt
Filed under: uncultured bacterium
Lineage: Bacteria
Description: partial 16S ribosomal RNA
Rfam family: Bacterial small subunit ribosomal RNA
Source: RNAcentral
CAGUAGCCGCGGGAAUACAGAGGGUGCGAGCGUUAAUCGGAUUUACUUGGCGUAAAGCGUGCGUAGGCGGCUUUUUAAGUCGGAUGUGAAAUCCCUGAGCUUAACUUAGGAAUUGCAUUCGAUACUGGGAAGCUAGAGUAUGGGAGAGGAUGGUAGAAUUCCAGGUGUAGCGGUGAAAUGCGUAGAGAUCUGGAGGAAUACCGAUGGCGAAGGCAGCCAUCUGGCCUAAUACUGACGCUGAGGUACGAAAGCAUGGGGAGCAAACAGGAUUAGAUACCCCUGUAGUCCCUGUCUCUUAUAU